Molecule: transfer RNA, 77 nt
Filed under: Bacillota bacterium
Lineage: Bacteria; Bacillati; Bacillota
Also listed under: 2 other names
Description: Firmicutes bacterium (compost metagenome) tRNA-His
Rfam family: tRNA
About the family: Transfer RNA (tRNA) molecules are approximately 80 nucleotides in length. Their secondary structure includes four short double-helical elements and three loops (D, anti-codon, and T loops).
Source: RNAcentral
GUGGGUGUAGCUCAGCUGGUUAGAGCGUCGGGUUGUGGCCCCGAAGGUCGCCGGUUCGAAUCCGGUCACUCACCCCA